This 1146-nucleotide long non-coding RNA is filed under the name Carassius auratus (goldfish). RNAcentral's name for it is "lncRNA (ENSCARG00000062396.1)". Lineage: Eukaryota; Metazoa; Chordata; Actinopteri; Cypriniformes; Cyprinidae. The record is from RNAcentral.
AUGGUGCUGUGGUUUGCCGUGCCGUGCUGUCAGCCAAAGAGAGGACAGCUGCCACCGAGAAAACCACUGAGACUCCUGAUCACCGACGACAGGGCACACUACCCCAGCACUGUAACCGAAUACAGCUGUACAGGGAUCCGAUGGGGAGAGGACUCCCUCACUCACACUGAGGCCGAUGUCAAACACAUGUUCAGCCAACAUGGGAAAGUGACUGUUACACAAAUGGACUUAAGUGGACACCACCACCGUUCAAAACAGUUCCCGGGAGCUUUGCUAAGAGCCGCUGCUCCCGCCAGAAUGUUUAACAUUGGUAUGUCCAGCGUCAAUGCAGUGAACCAGACCGUAAACUCCUUGAAACCACUGUUUACUUUCUUCCAGAAUGACUUUACCCAGACUCAGCUGUUUACAGCAGUAACAACAGACAUGCUGUGGGAGGUUAGCUCCUCCAAUGACAGCCUAACCAUGGGUAAAACCCCUCCAUACAUGAUACCCUUAAGCCUUGUGCUAACUGUGCUGGCUUACGCCAUCACCAUGCCAGUUGACCUGCUACAAAUACACCUGGCCAACUCUCUGGAUAGUGCCAUCCUACUGCACAUCAACCCUAAACAGAGAGAAGUGAAUGUGCUCCUGAACCAACCCAUCAGCGAGUCAAGCCAAGUCUACAGACCUAAAGACAUUGUCAGUGUCAGGAUGUGGAAAAGCAACACCCACACCAAGACACACAUUCCAGAUGUGGUGGUCUACCACGACAGCGACACACAGCUGUACCUGGCCCCAAACCUGCACAUGUGUACUUUGACCAAAGACAUUCAUUAUCUCUGCCUUAGCAAACCCUUCCUCAGACACAACUCUGAAGGAAUCUGCGGGUUGCAACCCCGGCUCAUCGAUACGCGCUGCCCUGCCGAAGCCAAGCCUCGUACACAAGUCACAGAAACGCAAGCAGAGAUUGUGGGUGACCGAUGGCUCGUCAACACUCCUGUGCGCACAGCUACACUGACCUACGACCAGCAAGACACUGCCACCCGUGUCAACCUGCUUGACCAAGUACUGGAAGGUACCACCCAAAACAUUGACAUUACUCCCGUCGACACAUCCCUCCAAGCACUGUCUCGACAGCCCGUUCUGAACCCGUCAUCUGCGGUCUGA